Molecule: long non-coding RNA, 1008 nt
Filed under: Mustela putorius furo (domestic ferret)
Lineage: Eukaryota; Metazoa; Chordata; Mammalia; Carnivora; Mustelidae
Description: lncRNA (ENSMPUG00000025646.1)
Source: RNAcentral
CCAGACAGAAGGGAGCUGACUUGCCUCGUGUGGCAUGCUGGUGGGAAGAGGAAGUCAUGCUCGAGGUCCUGCACACAGUACUGAAGCAGAACACUGCUCUCGGGGCACUGGCAUUCCAACAGGGAGACGGGCACAUGGCAAUGACAAUGACGGCCACGUGAGCUUGGCUGGAGAGGGACCGGAGCACACAGCUGGUGGACCCCAGCUCUGGAAGGCUUCUGGAGAGGAGAACAUUUGAGUAAGUAAGCACCUGGGUUGGCAAGACUUAAGAGUGUUAAAUUAGGCCCUGAAAUUGCAACCUGCAAAGAGCAACGGGGAGGUUCCUGCACCUCCUGUACAUGGAGUGAGUCCCAAGAAGCAAGUGGCCUCCAGGGAUCUGGUGUAAACUAGGGGUUAAUGAUUAACUAGAGACAGAGCGUCUACUCUGCCAGGUGGGGAGCUCAAGGAAGUCCAAACAGCCACAAUAUCCAUCAUUUAUGGAGAGAAGGGACAAGCCCUGUGCUACAUACUUUUCCUCUGUUACAUGAUUGUUACAGUCACUAUUUCACACACUAAGAAUCCCAGGCUCCCAGCAGUGCAAGGCUUUGUGCAAAACCUCCCAGCUGGAAGCAGUGGGAGAAUCUAGAGUUGAGAGAUCAAGAUCCAGGGCUCUAUCUCUCUACUUCCUGCUGAAAUUGCUCCUAGACCUGCUGGUCGUCUUAGCCCUGGAAUCAGUGUCUUGGACAAGUUGCAGCAACACCUGCUACUAUGGGGCAAAAAGGAGACAGACAGAAUUUUGUGGCUGAAGUGACUCAGGUUCAAAUUUCAGCUCUCGUUAAAUCCACUUCUCACAACCUCAAGGAAGUUGCUUUACUCUCCCAGAAGCUCACAUCUCUCUUCUGGAACAUGGACAUCAUAGUGUGGUGAGCCUUCGGGAGACUGAAGUCCAUGAGUUUCCUGAACUUCAUGAAGAGUCAACACAAGUGGGCAGUCCCUUUCUUCUGGAGAACGCUGCUAAGGGUCCCUGCC